This 511-nucleotide ribosomal RNA is filed under the name Salmonella enterica subsp. enterica serovar Heidelberg. Its description in RNAcentral is "partial 23S ribosomal RNA". It matches the Rfam family "Bacterial large subunit ribosomal RNA", at positions 1 to 559 of the family's 2925-position model. RNAcentral also lists the same sequence under 2 other names. The record is from RNAcentral. Lineage: Bacteria; Pseudomonadati; Pseudomonadota; Gammaproteobacteria; Enterobacterales; Enterobacteriaceae.
GACUAAGCGUACACGGUGGAUGCCCUGGCAGUCAGAGGCGAUGAAGGACGUGCUAAUCUGCGAUAAGCGCCGGUAAGGUGAUAUGAACCGUUAUAACCGGCGAUUUCCGAAUGGGGAAACCCAGUGUGACUCGUCACACUAUCAUUAACUGAAUCCAUAGGUUAAUGAGGCGAACCGGGGGAACUGAAACAUCUAAGUACCCCGAGGAAAAGAAAUCAACCGAGAUUCCCCCAGUAGCGGCGAGCGAACGGGGAGGAGCCCAGAGCCUGAAUCAGCAUGUGUGUUAGUGGAAGCGUCUGGAAAGGCGCGCGAUACAGGGUGACAGCCCCGUACACAAAAGCGCAUGUGCUGUGAGCUCGAUGAGUAGGGCGGGACACGUGGUAUCCUGUCUGAAUAUGGGGGGACCAUCCUCCAAGGCUAAAUACUCCUGACUGACCGAUAGUGAACCAGUACCGUGAGGGAAAGGCGAAAAGAACCCCGGCGAGGGGAGUGAAAAAGAACCUGAAACCGU